CCAGACCCAGCAACAUGGUGAGGGGAGCCCUGGAGGGCUAAGUCAUCUGGUAAGAUGGGCUGAGAGGGCAGUGUCCUCUGCAUAAGAAGCGACACAAAUGCCCCAGGUCUAAAGGGAAUCAGAACACUUAGGUGACAGACGCCAAAAACUACAACUCAAGAGAACAAAGGAAUGUCCCUGAGUUAGGCUCCAAGCUAACUCAAGACAUAAAGAAACACUUCUUCACUGUCAAAUGCAAGGGCUGAAACCCUGACGAACUUUCAUGCUGGGAAGAGCUGGGAACUUUUGGGAACAGACUUUCUUAUUCUGGGAAGGCCAGGAUAAGAGAGCUAACCAUUCAUCCCGGCCGCACACGAGUGCUUCACAAUGUCACUGAAUGUGGACUACAGCAUGAGGCUCAACCUGAGACCCCUGGCUACGCACUGGGACCUGCGAGCCCCCAGAAGAGGCCUGCCAUUGGCA
This 462-nucleotide long non-coding RNA is filed under the name Mus pahari (shrew mouse). Its description in RNAcentral is "predicted gene 13781 (MGP_PahariEiJ_G0002899.1)". Lineage: Eukaryota; Metazoa; Chordata; Mammalia; Rodentia; Muridae. The record is from RNAcentral.